CCCUUAGAUGUUCUGGGCCGCACGCGCGCUACACUGAUGCAUUCAACGAGUCUAAAACCUGCUCUGAUAGGGGUGGGUAAUCUUUUGAAUGUGCAUCGUGAUUGGGAUAGAUGAUUGCAAUUUUUCAUCUUCAACGAGGAAUGCCUAGUAAACGCAAGUCAUCAGCUUGCAUUGAUUACGUCCCUGUCCUUUGUACACACCGCCCGUCGCUCCUACCGAUUGAAUGAUCCGAUGAAUAUCAUGGAUUGAGGAUGCAAGCAGGUUCGCCUGUCUUCAUCUUCGAGAAGUGAAGUAAAUCUUAUCAUUUAGAGGAAGGAGAAGUCGUAACA
Molecule: ribosomal RNA, 329 nt
Filed under: uncultured eukaryote
Lineage: Eukaryota
Description: partial 18S ribosomal RNA
Rfam family: Eukaryotic small subunit ribosomal RNA
Source: RNAcentral